GGACCUGCGAGGGGGACAGGAAGUGCACGUGCACGUCGAUGCCGCCCGCGGUGAGGAUGCGUCCCUCGCCGCUGAUGACGUCGGUCGACGGCCCGAUGCGCAGGUCCGGGUGCACGCCGUCCGCCACGUCGGGGUUGCCGGCGCGGCCCAGGGCCACGAUGCGCCCGUCGCGGAUGCCGACGUCGGCCUUGACGACACCCCACCAGUCGAGGACCAGCGCGUUGGUGAUCACCGUGUCGGGGGCGCCCUCGGCGCGGGUCGUCG
Molecule: small RNA, 264 nt
Filed under: uncultured Cellulomonas sp.
Lineage: Bacteria; Bacillati; Actinomycetota; Actinomycetes; Micrococcales; Cellulomonadaceae
Description: 5' ureB small RNA
Source: RNAcentral